RNAcentral lists this ribosomal RNA (253 nucleotides) under uncultured bacterium. RNAcentral describes it as "partial 16S ribosomal RNA". It matches the Rfam family "Bacterial small subunit ribosomal RNA", at positions 524 to 776 of the family's 1533-position model. The record is from RNAcentral.
UACAGAGGGGGCAAGCGUUGUUCGGAAUUACUGGGCGUAAAGUGCGCGUAGGCGGCCCGCUAAGUCGAACGUGAAAUCCCCGAGCUCAACUCGGGAACUGCGUCCGAUACUGGCGGGCUUGAAUCCGGGAGAGGGAUGCGGAAUUCCAGGUGUAGCGGUGAAAUGCGUAGAUAUCUGGAGGAACACCGGUGGCGAAGGCGGCAUCCUGGACCGGCAUUGACGCUGAGGCGCGAAAGCUAGGGGAGCAAACGGG